UUCGUUGAAAGAUUCAUUGACCACGGAUUGGCUCGCGUGCCAUUAGGUAGACGGCGGGGUAACGGCCCACCGUGCCGACGAUGGCUAGGGGUUCUGAGAGGAAGGUCCCCCACAUUGGAACUGAGACACGGUCCAGACUCCUACGGGAGGCAGCAGUGAGGAAUAUUGGACAAUGGCCGGAAGGCUGAUCCAGCCAUGCCGCGUGCGGGAGGACGGCCCUAUGGGUUGUAAACCGCUUUUGCGAGGGAGCAAUAAUCACUACGUGUAGUGAGAUGAGAGUACCUUACGAAUAAGCAUCGGCUAACUCCGUGCCAGCAGCCGCGGUAAUACGGAGGAUGCAAGCGUUAUCCGGAUUUAUUGGGUUUAAAGGGUGCGUAGGCGGCUUGGUAAGCGGGAGGUGAAAUGCCGGCGCUCAACGUCGGAAGUGCCUCCCGAACUGUCGGGCUUGAAUGACACUGCCGUGGGAGGAAUGUGUGGUGUAGCGGUGAAAUGCAUAGAGAUCACACAGAACACCGAUUGCGAAGGCAUCUCACGAAGUGUUGAUUGACGCUGAGGCACGAAAGCGUGGGGAUCAAACAGG
This 580-nucleotide ribosomal RNA is filed under the name uncultured rumen bacterium. RNAcentral's name for it is "bacterial SSU rRNA". It matches the Rfam family "Bacterial small subunit ribosomal RNA", at positions 196 to 776 of the family's 1533-position model. The record is from RNAcentral.